AACGAACGCUGGCGGCGUGGAUAAGACAUGCAAGUCGAACGAUCACUAUUGAGUAGCAAUAUUUGGUAGUGGGAGUGGCGCAAGGGUGCGUAACACGUGGGUAAUUUGCCGUAAAGUCUGGGAUAACUUGCUGAAAGGCGAGCUAAUACCGGAUGUGAUUGCUGGGGGGCAUCCUCUGGCACUUAAAGUCGGGGACCGCAAGGCCUGACACUUUUCGAUAAGCCCGCGGCCUAUCAGCUAGUUGGUGAGGUAACGGCUCACCAAGGCUAAGACGGGUAGCUGGUCUGAGAGGACGACCAGCCACACUGGAACUGAGACACGGUCCAGACACCUACGGGUGGCAGCAGUCGAGAAUUUUUCUCAAUGGGGGAAACCCUGAAGGAGCGACGCCGCGUGGGGGAUGAAUGGCUUCGGCCCGUAAACCCCUGUCAUUUGCGAUCAAACCUUACGACCUAACACGUCGUAAGCUGAUAGUAGCGAAAGAGGAAGGGACGGCUAACUCUGUGCCAGCAG
RNAcentral lists this ribosomal RNA (513 nucleotides) under uncultured bacterium. Its description in RNAcentral is "bacterial SSU rRNA". It matches the Rfam family "Bacterial small subunit ribosomal RNA", at positions 29 to 514 of the family's 1533-position model. The record is from RNAcentral.